AACUGAUUUGAAGAGCUUGCUCAGAUAUGACGAUGGACAUUGCAAAGAGUGGCGAACGGGUGAGUAACACGUGGGAAACCUACCUCUUAGCAGGGGAUAACAUUUGGAAACAGAUGCUAAUACCGUAUAACAAUGACAACCGCAUGGUUGUUAUUUAAAAGAUGGUUCUGCUAUCACUAAGAGAUGGUCCCGCGGUGCAUUAGCUAGUUGGUAAGGUAAUGGCUUACCAAGGCGAUGAUGCAUAGCCGAGUUGAGAGACUGAUCGGCCACAAUGGGACUGAGACACGGCCCAUACUCCUACGGGAGGCAGCAGUAGGGAAUCUUCCACAAUGGGCGAAAGCCUGAUGGAGCAACGCCGCGUGUGUGAUGAAGGGUUUCGGCUCGUAAAACACUGUUGUAAGAGAAGAAUGACAUUGAGAGUAACUGUUCAAUGUGUGACGGUAUCUUACCAGAAAGGAACGGCUUAAAUACGUGCCAGCAGCCGCGGUAAUACGUAUGUUCCAAGCGUUAUCCGGAUUUAUUGGGCGUAAAGCGAGCGCAGACGGUUAUUUAAGUCUGAAGUGAAAGCCCUCAGCUCAACUGAGGAAUUGCUUUGGAAACUGGAUGACUUGAGUGCAGUAGAGGAAAGUGGAACUCCAUGUGUAGCGGUGAAAUGCGUAGAUAUAUGGAAGAACACCAGUGGCGAAGGCGGCUUUCUGGACUGUAACUGACGUUGAGGCUCGAAAGUGUGGGUAGCAAACAGGAUUAGAUACCCUGGUA
Molecule: ribosomal RNA, 759 nt
Filed under: Weissella confusa
Lineage: Bacteria; Bacillati; Bacillota; Bacilli; Lactobacillales; Lactobacillaceae
Description: bacterial SSU rRNA
Rfam family: Bacterial small subunit ribosomal RNA
Source: RNAcentral